Molecule: ribosomal RNA, 109 nt
Filed under: uncultured eukaryote
Lineage: Eukaryota
Description: partial small subunit ribosomal RNA
Rfam family: Eukaryotic small subunit ribosomal RNA
Source: RNAcentral
UCGCUCCUACCGAUUGAGUGUUGUGGUGAAUAAUUCGGACUGCAGCAGCGCUUGGAUCCCGAGUGUUGCAGCGGAAAGUUUAGUGAACCUUAACGCUUAGAGGAAGGAG